AUAGCAGCCCGAACUCAGACAUCCACCCACCGGCACCAGCGGGUGUCGAAGAUGUCAUUCAAUUCUGACACCAUGGACCUGAAGUCAGCGUCUGAUUCCCAAGUUAAAGGGCUCGGUCCCACAAGACUGCGCCACCUCAGACCCCGGUCACAAGUCUGAGCCUCCCGUACUUCUGACCCAUUGGCUAUAAAUGGAAAGUUCCCGCAGCUCCUCCUGCAGGGUUGGUAUUUGCCAGAACAGCUCACAGAGACGGGGAUCAGAAAGCACAGGAGCGGAACACUGGUCUCACGGAUGUCCAGGAAAGAGCCAAGAAUGUGUUCACUACUGUUCUUGACCACAAUGUUGACCAUAAAGGCCGGUCUCUGAGGAAGAAAGCACGGAUUGCGGUUUCUCAACCCUGUGGACAAGUAGACAUGAGUCUGACUCACUUUGCGGAUCGGUCCUGGUAGGGCUUUUGCCCCCAUAUGUAAGUUUCAUGCUCCUGUAUCAACCUCAUCAAUAAUAAAGAAGAUAAGUUGGUGCCUCCCA
Long non-coding RNA from Suricata suricatta (meerkat), 528 nucleotides. RefSeq lists it as uncharacterized. NCBI's taxonomy places the organism in Eukaryota, Metazoa, Chordata, Mammalia, Carnivora, Herpestidae. The transcript has 3 exons. The record is from RefSeq and is a predicted model, not a curated record.